UGGCUCAGGACGAACGCUGGCGGCGUGCCUAAUACAUGCAAGUCGAACGAACUCUGGUAUUGAUUGGUGCUUGCAUCAUGAUUUACAUUUGAGUGAGUGGCGAACUGGUGAGUAACACGUGGGAAACCUGCCCAGAAGCGGGGGAUAACACCUGGAAACAGAUGCUAAUACCGCAUAACAACUUGGACCGCAUGGUCCGAGUUUGAAAGAUGGCUUCGGCUAUCACUUUUGGAUGGUCCCGCGGCGUAUUAGCUAGAUGGUGGGGUAACGGCUCACCAUGGCAAUGAUACGUAGCCGACCUGAGAGGGUAAUCGGCCACAUUGGGACUGAGACACGGCCCAAACUCCUACGGGAGGCAGCAGUAGGGAAUCUUCCACAAUGGACGAAAGUCUGAUGGAGCAACGCCGCGUGAGUGAAGAAGGGUUUCGGCUCGUAAAACUCUGUUGUUAAAGAAGAACAUAUCUGAGAGUAACUGUUCAGGUAUUGACGGUAUUUAACCAGAAAGCCACGGCUAACUACGUGCCAGCAGCCGCGGUAAUACGUAGGUGGCAAGCGUUGUCCGGAUUUAUUGGGCGUAAAGCGAGCGCAGGCGGUUUUUUAAGUCUGAUGUGAAAGCCUUCGGCUCAACCGAAGAAGUGCAUCGGAAACUGGGAAACUUGAGUGCAGAAGAGGACAGUGGAACUCCAUGUGUAGCGGUGAAAUGCGUAGAUAUAUGGAAGAACACCAGUGGCGAAGGCGGCUGUCUGGUCUGUAACUGACGCUGAGGCUCGAAAGUAUGGGUAGCAAACAGGAUUAGAUACCCUGGUAGUCCAUACCGUAAACGAUGAAUGCUAAGUGUUGGAGGGUUUCCGCCCUUCAGUGCUGCAGCUAACGCAUUAAGCAUUCCGCCUGGGGAGUACGGCCGCAAGGCUGAAACUCAAAGGAAUUGACGGGGGCCCGCACAAGCGGUGGAGCAUGUGGUUUAAUUCGAAGCUACGCGAAGAACCUUACCAGGUCUUGACAUACUAUGCAAAUCUAAGAGAUUAGACGUUCCCUUCGGGGACAUGGAUACAGGUGGUGCAUGGUUGUCGUCAGCUCGUGUCGUGAGAUGUUGGGUUAAGUCCCGCAACGAGCGCAACCCUUAUUAUCAGUUGCCAGCAUUAAGUUGGGCACUCUGGUGAGACUGCCGGUGACAAACCGGAGGAAGGUGGGGAUGACGUCAAAUCAUCAUGCCCCUUAUGACCUGGGCUACACACGUGCUACAAUGGAUGGUACAACGAGUUGCGAACUCGCGAGAGUAAGCUAAUCUCUUAAAGCCAUUCUCAGUUCGGAUUGUAGGCUGCAACUCGCCUACAUGAAGUCGGAAUCGCUAGUAAUCGCGGAUCAGCAUGCCGCGGUGAAUACGUUCCCGGGCCUUGUACACACCGCCCGUCACACCAUGAGAGUUUGUAACACCCAAAGUCGGUGGGGUAACCUUUUAG
RNAcentral lists this ribosomal RNA (1460 nucleotides) under Lactobacillus sp. PC-3. Its description in RNAcentral is "bacterial SSU rRNA". It matches the Rfam family "Bacterial small subunit ribosomal RNA". The record is from RNAcentral. Lineage: Bacteria; Bacillati; Bacillota; Bacilli; Lactobacillales; Lactobacillaceae.